This is a long non-coding RNA of Anguilla rostrata (American eel), 307 nucleotides long. RefSeq lists it as uncharacterized. The record is from RefSeq and is a predicted model, not a curated record. The transcript is spliced from 4 exons. NCBI's taxonomy places the organism in Eukaryota, Metazoa, Chordata, Actinopteri, Anguilliformes, Anguillidae.
UAAUAGACUUCAAUCAAUGUGUUGAAUCUGCGAUAUCCAAACGGACGAUCACUUGGACUAUAAAUACAACAUGAAACGCGCAUAUCGUUCCCAUUCUCUUGAAUUACGGGGAAAUGAUGUUGGUGCACGGUGGUGAAAUGAACACCGGCAGAUGCUGGAGUGUGAGCACAAACUGGUCUGAACGUGAUGUUGGAUUUACUUUCCGAUGCACCAUUGGAAAGAUGUGAUCCAAAUUUGAGGCGUUGUGACAUUUCAGUAUCAUCGGAAAGAUGUGAUCCAAAUUUGGGGGGUGUUGCAACAUUUCAGG